Small nucleolar RNA from Scatophagus argus, 95 nucleotides. RefSeq annotates it as small nucleolar RNA SNORA17. The record is from RefSeq and is a predicted model, not a curated record. The transcript has a single exon. NCBI's taxonomy places the organism in Eukaryota, Metazoa, Chordata, Actinopteri, Scatophagidae.
UCCAGUUAUAGAGGAGACAUACUGUGUCUUCUCUAUAACUGGAGAGGAGACACAGUAUGUCUCCUCUAUAAUUGGAGGAGACAUACUGUGUCUUU